This 3125-nucleotide long non-coding RNA is filed under the name Sus scrofa (pig). RNAcentral describes it as "lncRNA (ENSSSCG00000063287.1)". Lineage: Eukaryota; Metazoa; Chordata; Mammalia; Artiodactyla; Suidae. The record is from RNAcentral.
UCACAGAUGCAGCUCAUAUCUGGCAUUGCUGUGGCUGUGGCAUAGGCCGGCAACUACAGCUCCUAUUCGACCCCUAGCCUGGGAACUUACAUAUACCCCAAGUGCAGCCUUGAAAAGACAAAAAUAAACAUUCAGUAAAUUGUCCAUUUAUAAAAUAAAUGAUAAUGUUUGUAAUAACAGCAGUUUCUUUGGAAAUGUACCAAGGAAAUGCAAUAAUUAAAAACUACAGCUAAAAACAUAAACUGUUUGAAUGUAAAUUCAACAAGACAGGUACAACAUUCAGGUAAAGAAAAUUCUAAAGCUAUUAAAAACAGUAAUACUGGAAGGAAGGGGGCCUACCUAAGUUUCAUAGGUAGGGGCUCUCUUUUCAAAAUGCUUGCCUUCAGUAGCAGCUCCAGUGUUUUUACUGGGUAUUUGACCAUUGAUAAGUUUUCUAAAAUGUGUCUGCCUUGGUUUUCUCAUCCACAGAAUGGCAAUAAUAAAAAUAUCCCAUUUGCGGAGUUGUUGUGAUGGAUAAAGAGAUAAUGUCAAGUGUUUGAAAAAUUAUUGUGUACACACCAAUCAUUUAAUUACCGUUUGCUCUUCUUUCUACUAUAUACUUUCUAAUACCUCUUCUGCUAUUUCUAGGAAGUAUAAACCACUAGAGAUAUGAACUCUCUAAAAACUAAUCUGUGCAUUCAAUGUAAAAUCAAGCCAAAUCUUACUAGGAUUUUUUAAAUUUGUCAAGUGGUUUUAAAGUACCUCUUAAAAAAGAUGUAAAACAAGUGAAGGGCUACCAGGCAGAAUUGAAGGAGGGAUUAUGCCCUGGCAGAUGUUAAGAUUCAUUACAAGUUAUACAAAUCGAAAUAGAAUGAUAACAGGAAGAAUAGGGAACCAGAAAUAACUGUCUAUGAAUGUAUGGAAUCUUAAUACAUGAUAACAAAGACAUUUGACAUCAGUGGAAAAAGAUCUAUGCUAAUAACCCAAGGUAAAAAUCUUUGUAGGCAAAUAGAUACUGGCCUUCAGAAACGAGAUACAAAAGAUCGAUAAAAAUACACUUCACUCGUAAUUGAAGAAAUGCAAAUGAAAUAAGAAUCUUGUAUUUUUAUUUGGAUGAGUCCUUAAAAAAUAGAGCACUACAAUUUCUGCAUUUUUGAAUUUGGAGGGAAUGUGUGUUUUCCAAAGCUUUCUUGACCCCAGUGUUACUAACAAAGGUGGGAUAUGGAUUUGGGAAGGAGUUAGGUCGGAGAUCAGGACAGACUGAGUGAGGAUCUAGGUCAGAGGCGAAGAGAGGGUCAUGUAUGAUGAAAGCAUCGGAGCUUUUCUCAGGUAUCACUUGUCAUGAAGUUUAAUAAAAUACUGAUUUUUCAGUUUAACAUGGUGGUGUCAAAGGCCACGCUUUGCUUCUUGCUAUUGUUAAAUACUGAAACUAUUACGAAAAUGCAGUCUUGGCCAGAAUAUAGGGAAAUAGACAAGUACACUGUUGAUGGGGUUUAAAGGCAUAAGGUCUUUCUGCAAGGAGUUUCUCCAACAUGGAUCAAACAUAAACACGGAUAUACUUUGCCACAGGAAUUUGUCUUUAUAGAUAUAUCUAUAGAAAUUUGCUAUAUAAAUUGUGUUUAGAGAAAGGCAUUUCAAUGAGAUAACCAACUAAUCAUGCAGAGAUAAAUAAGUAAAAUAAAUAUAUAUGUAUAUUUAUAUUCUUACAUUGUUUAUAGUACAGGGGUGGGGAAAGGAAAGUAACCUAGAUGUCUAGGAGUAAAGGCUUGUUUACAUGAGUCAUCUAACAUUCGACAGUGAAAGGCUAUUCAGCCACCAGUGAAUGCUGUAGAUCUACAUUUACUGAAAUUUAAAACUCUGCCCAGCAUAUUGCAAAGUGUAAAUAUUUUUUAUACAUAUGUAUGGUGGUGUAUGUGUACAUGGUUAUGUCCACAGAGAGCACUGCCUUACAAGAUGUUCAGAAAAAUGUUAACAGUGAAAAUCUCACCCACAUGGUAUGUGAAUGAUUUUGUUAUUUUGUUUUUAUCGGCUUGUUUGUGAAGAGUCUUCCAGAACAUAGAUUAUAAUUUUUUUUUCUUGAUGACUGAUAUUUUGCUCAUCUUUUCACCCCUCCUGUCAAUCAGUUAAUGUGUUCAGAAUCACAUCGGUGUGUUGUGAGUAGAUCACCAGCAAAAGAGAUUUUGGUUAAGACCAAAGGAAAAGAAUAUUACUUUUCAAAUUUGGCAUGCCUUGGGGAAGGAAGCUUCAGCCAAAGAGCUGAUACUGGACUCUGGAACCCAAGGAGUGAAUACAGGAGCUAGGAGAGGAACUCAAAAGGAGGUAAACGAAAUAAAGAGGGGUGCUGUAUCCCCAUGAUCUCUUAACAGUGGUUAUUGUUAAUGACAGGAAAUCUCAUGGACUGCUGUUCACAUCUCAAAGGCCACCAGUCCCUAAUUUAAUAGAUCAGUGUUACCUUAGAAGAUUUUUAAUGCUGGCCUUUUGGGUUGUCAGACGCUUUCCAUUCCGUCUGAACUUGAUGCUGCAGUCCCAGUUUAGUGAUAGCCCAUGCUUUUCCUUUGAAGUAGUAUCAGUACAUCCAAGUUCAGCCUCUCCUUGCCUGUGACAAGAGGCAAAAAUGGACAUUUACUAAUUAAUCUAGCAUGUAUUGACUAUGCCUCCUUUGCCACACUCUGAGCUAGAUCCUGGAAACUUGAGUCUCUGUCAGUCUGGUCAGAAAGGCAAGUGUGUAAAUGCAUAGUCAGAAUGUAAUUUGAUGGAAGUAUAUGCAGGUGACAUUUAUAAGAGAUGUCCAGAGCAGACACAGGAGAAAGUAGAUUGGUAUUUGCCUAGGGCAGAGUGUGGGGGCCAGACCAAUGUAGGGUGAUUGCUGAAGUGUGUGGUGUUUCUUUCUUGGGUGGUGAAAAUUUUCUAAACGUAUGUUGUGUGUCCUUUAAAUGGUAAUCUUAGUGGUAUGUGAAUUAUAUGUAAGUAAAGAUGUUAACAAAAAAGUCAUAUGAGGAGUUCCUGCUGUUGCACAGUGGGUUAAGAAUCCCGACUGUAGCGGCUCAGGUUGCUGCAGAGGCAUGGUCUCAAUCCCUGGCCAGGUGUAUUGGGGUAGAGAAUCCAGCAUUCAAUCCCUGUCCAGGGAACUUUCAUAUACGGCAGUG